RNAcentral lists this ribosomal RNA (252 nucleotides) under uncultured bacterium. RNAcentral's name for it is "partial 16S ribosomal RNA". It matches the Rfam family "Bacterial small subunit ribosomal RNA", at positions 524 to 773 of the family's 1533-position model. The record is from RNAcentral.
UACGUAGGGUGCAAGCGUUAAUCGGAAUUACUGGGCGUAAAGCGUGCGCAGGCGGUUUUGUAAGUCUGUCGUGAAAUCCCCGGGCUCAACCUGGGAAUUGCGAUGGAGACUGCAAGGCUAGAAUCUGGCAGAGGGGGUAGAAUUCCACGUGUGAGCAGUGAAAUGCGUAGAGAUGUGGAGGAACACCGAUGGCGAAGGCAGCCCCCUGGGUCAAGAUUGACGCUCCAUGACACGAAAGCGUGGGGAGCAAAC